UCAACCAAAAAUCCCCAAAAAAAACCCUAAUAUGCACGCAGCUCUCUCAUUCCUCUCAUUUCAUCUCAUCUCAUCUCAUCAGUCUCUUUCUCACUCUCAUUUUCAUCUGCACAAAUCGACUCCACACCGAUCAAACUCGCAAGAUCGACUCCUCACCGAUCGACCUCACUCUCUCAUUGCACCGAUCGAUCUCAUAGAACUGUAAGAAUGAAGAUGGCAGAAGAGCGAGUUUCACCAGUGAUAUCUCAAUGGAUCAGGAUGAUGACGAUGAGAAAGAAACCAAAUACCGCUUGGAUCCAAAGUACGCCAAUGUAAAAACACCAGAACGACAUGUGCGGACACGCCUUUAUUUCACAUCGGUGAGUAAAAGUAGCUAAUCAUCUUGUUAUUAAACACCCCCCCCCAAUUGAUGCUGUAAUACUCAUCACUGGUGAAACUCGCUCUUCUGCCAUCAUCUUGAUCCAUUGAGAUAUCAACUGUUUGGAAUUGAAUCUGUUGAUUUCUGUUUGGAAUUAAAUCUGUGAUUAGAACUAAAUCUGUUCAUUUCUGUUAUGCAAUCAGAUCUGUUUCAAGAUUAUGUUGCUAGUUCAAGAUUAUGUUGCUAGUUCACAAGUUUUGUAUUGGCAUCUAGGUAGUGAUUGCAAACUUUGUGGUCAUAAUUAGUUUAAGGAUUUUUGUUAACAAGUGUUUUACUGAUAUUUGUUCCGCUUCAAGAUUCUUGAUGGUGCAAAGUUGAAAGUGGCUUUUGAGAAAGCUAAAGUUAGGAAAAUAUGAGUCUUGGAUUAGGCAGAAGUGACAUAUCAUGCUUACCAGAAGGUUCAAGAUGUUUCUCUGCUUCAUUUUGUAUGGUCUUUUUUGCUUUACCAAAUCAUUAGGUCUUGAUCACAAAAAAGGGCUUUG
Camellia sinensis is the source of this 900-nucleotide non-coding RNA. The record is from RefSeq and is a predicted model, not a curated record. Lineage: Eukaryota; Viridiplantae; Streptophyta; Magnoliopsida; Ericales; Theaceae.